CCUACGGGAGGCAGCAGUGAGGAAUAUUGGUCAAUGGUCGUAAGACUGAACCAGCCAAGCCGCGUGAGGGAAGAAGGCGCUAAGCGUCGUAAACCUCUUUUGCCGGGGAACAAGAGGCAUCACGCGUGGUGCUGUGAGUGUACCCGGAGAAAAAGCAUCGGCUAACUCCGUGCCAGCAGCCGCGGUAAUACGGAGGAUGCGAGCGUUAUCCGGAUUUAUUGGGUUUAAAGGGUGCGCAGGCGGACUGUUAAGUCAGCGGUAAAAUAGCGGGGCUCAACCCCGUCGAGCCGUUGAAACUGGCAGACUUGAGUUGGCGAGAAGUAUGCGGAAUGCGCGGUGUAGCGGUGAAAUGCUUAGAUAUCGCGCAGAACUCCGAUUGCGAAGGCAGCAUACCGGCGCCAUACUGACGCUCAGGCACGAAAGU
Molecule: ribosomal RNA, 424 nt
Filed under: uncultured Fusobacterium sp.
Lineage: Bacteria; Fusobacteriati; Fusobacteriota; Fusobacteriia; Fusobacteriales; Fusobacteriaceae
Description: bacterial SSU rRNA
Rfam family: Bacterial small subunit ribosomal RNA
Source: RNAcentral